GAUGAACGCUGGCGGCGUGCCUAAUACAUGCAAGUCGAGCGAACGGACGAGAAGCUUGCUUUUCUGAUGUUAGCGGCGGACGGGUGAGUAACACGUGGAUAACCUACCUAUAAGACUUGGAUAACUUCGUGAAACCGGAGCUAAUACCGUAUAAUAUUUUGAACCGCAUGGUUCAAAAGUGAAAGACGGUCUUUCUGUCUCUUAUAGAUGUAUCCGCGCUGCAUUAGCUAGAUGGUAAGUUAACGGCUUACCAAGGCAACGAUGCAUAGCCGACAUGAGAGGGUGAUCGGCCAGACGGGAACGGAGACACGGUCAAGAAGACGACGGGAGGCAGAAGAAGGGAAGAUUACGCAAUGGGCGAAAGCAUGACGGAGCAACGCCGCGUGAGUGAUGAAGGUCUUCGGAUCGUAAAACUCGGUUAUUAGGGAAGAACAUAUGUGUAAGUAAAUGUGCAAAUAUUGACGGUAAAUAAUCAGAAAGCAACGGCUAACUACGUG
RNAcentral lists this ribosomal RNA (497 nucleotides) under uncultured bacterium. Its description in RNAcentral is "partial 16S ribosomal RNA". It matches the Rfam family "Bacterial small subunit ribosomal RNA", at positions 28 to 507 of the family's 1533-position model. The record is from RNAcentral.